CCUACGGGGGGCUGCAGUGGGGAAUAUUGGACAAUGGGGGGAACCCUGAUCCAGCCAUGCCGCGUGUGUGAAGAAGGCCCUCGGGUUGUAAAGCACUUUCAGUGAGGAAGAACGCCUGGUGGUUAAUACCCAUCAGGAAAGACAUCACUCACAGAAGAAGCACCGGCUAACUCCGUGCCAGCAGCCGCGGUAAUACGGAGGGUGCGAGCGUUAAUCGGAAUUACUGGGCGUAAAGCGCGCGUAGGUGGCUUGAUAAGCCGGUUGUGAAAGCCCCGGGCUCAACCUGGGAACGGCAUCCGGAACUGUCAAGCUAGAGUGCAGGAGAGGAAGGUAGAAUUCUCGGUGUAGCGGUGAAAUGCGUAGAGAUCGGGAGGAAUACCAGUGGCGAAGGCGGCCUUCUGGACUGACACUGACACUGAGGUGCGAAAGCGUGGGUAGCAAACAGGAUUAGAUACCCCUGUAGUC
This 465-nucleotide ribosomal RNA is filed under the name Vreelandella stevensii. Its description in RNAcentral is "partial 16S ribosomal RNA". It matches the Rfam family "Bacterial small subunit ribosomal RNA", at positions 338 to 795 of the family's 1533-position model. The record is from RNAcentral. Lineage: Bacteria; Pseudomonadati; Pseudomonadota; Gammaproteobacteria; Oceanospirillales; Halomonadaceae.